Long non-coding RNA from Trematomus bernacchii (emerald rockcod), 1433 nucleotides. RefSeq lists it as uncharacterized. NCBI's taxonomy places the organism in Eukaryota, Metazoa, Chordata, Actinopteri, Perciformes, Nototheniidae. The transcript is spliced from 4 exons. The record is from RefSeq and is a predicted model, not a curated record.
CCCUCAGAUAUUGUUCCAGAGAAGCUGCACCUCUUCCUGUGAGCAGAUAUAAAGAAACGACCGCAUGUGAGAUGUUCAGAGAGACGGAAGAGAGACGAUGCUCUACCUAAACUAUUUCCCAACAUAAUAAAGUAUACGUAUAUCUAUAAAGUAUAUAUCUACCUCUACGGGACAUGGAUCACCUGCUUGCUGCUGCUGCUGUGGGGCUCAGGACUCCAGGCUGCAGGAGAACUCUCAACAGGUAAGCUGCCAGUGUUAUGACCCCCCCCCCCCCCCAUCAUGCCUCAUGUCAUUUAAAGGCUGUUCCAAUAACAGCUUGUCACCAUGUUCAUGACCAAAAGAGAACCAGGAUAUUCUUGAUGUGCACACAACAAACCAUCAGCAGCUUUUCCUCACUACUGAUUCUAAAGAAUGAUCCAUGAACAAGAGCCUCUCUCAGUGUGGCAGUCUCUGAAGUUUGACUUUAAUGUCUGCACCACAACACCAAGUCAAACUCCUCGUACGUGUCGACCCACCUGGUGAUAAACCUGGUUCUGGUUCUGAUCUCUUUCCACCACUGGUUCAGAAAGACCUCCAGUUUGACCAGAAUAAUGAUGUACUCAUUUCUCUGGAGGUUUCCAGCUGUAACUCCAUCCUUCCAUCACUAUCAGUCAUUGCUUCAUCAUUCAGGGGUUCAUGAUACAACAUCUUUAUUUUAGUAAUCAUUAUUAAAUAUUACAUCUGCUGCAAGAAACUAAAGUACAUGACUCUGUUGUUUCUGUUCAGGGCGUUUCAGACUGGUGGGAGGAGAGAGUCGCUGUGCAGGAGACCUGGAGGUGAACCAUGAGGGAGAAUGGAGACCAGUGUGGGGCUAUGACUCUCUCUGGACCCUGAAGAGAGCAGGUGUUUUCUGCAGAGAGCUCGACUGUGGCUCUGCUGUUUUUGUGGGAGAGAGAGAGGAGUCCUCAAAGAGACCUAUGUGGAGGAUCAGAUCUCACUGUCUUCAGUCUGGAUCUGCUCUGAGGGAGUGUGUAUCUUCAGGUUACUCUUCCUCCACCGUGACUCUCACCUGCUCAGGAGUCCCCGGGGCCAACCAGUCUGAAAGGACUCCUUCUUCAGCUCCACCUCUCUCUGAGCCUCUGGGUUCCACCAGCAGGUUCUUUGGGUUCCACCAUAACAGCACCAAGACCUCCUGAACACAGCUCUGAUCAGCUCAGCCGGGCUCUUCAGUAUCUCCACACCACAUGGAGUCCUUCACCCUGAGGGGCUCCUCACAUGGAGACAGUCCAGACCCUAUCACUUUCACUUUUUAGAAACAUCUCUAAACAUCUUUGUAUUCUAGGUUACAGAUUCUCUUAGAAAAAUAACAAGGAGUUACAUCUGCAGAGGAGGAUGUUUUAUUGUUUGAAGACACGGGGAAAGGGUUCACUAAUGGAGACCAGUUGGUAGAGGGU